UUCUCGUAAUAACCAAAUUUGUUUUUCCUUGAGGUCCAGAUUCUGUUGAACUGGAUUCUAACAUGUAGGACUUUGCUAUAAAAAGUAAUUCUUUGUGCACCGCAUGUGGUGCAAUACUAUUGCACCGCCCAAUAACAUUGGGGCACGUAGUGCAUUCAGAUAGGACGGGCAUUUAAUACUGCCCAGUUUUUCCUUUUUUCAAUUUUUCAGUGACGAAAAUACCCUUUAUGACUUUCUAAUACCCUGUAUGACUUCCCGUGAGUGACUUCCUGUGGAUAUAUAUGACUUUCUGUAAAUAUAUACUAUUCAGAAAGUCAUAUGACUUCCUUUGACUUCCUCACUGUGAAUAUAUAUGACUUCCUGUGAAUAUAUAUGACUUUAUAUAUUAAUAGGAAGUCAUACAUGUUCACAGAAAGUCAUAUAUAUUCAUAAGAAGUCAUAUAUGUUCAUAAGAAGUCAUAUAUGUUCCCAAAAAGUAUAUAUUCAUAGGAAGUCAUAUAUGUUUACAGA
Molecule: long non-coding RNA, 510 nt
Filed under: Elaeis guineensis (African oil palm)
Lineage: Eukaryota; Viridiplantae; Streptophyta; Magnoliopsida; Arecales; Arecaceae
Description: long non-coding RNA (EGUI_LNC040981)
Source: RNAcentral